GACGAACGCUGGCGGCGUGCUUAACACAUGCAAGUCGAACGGAAAGGCCAUGCUUUUGUGGGGUGCUCGAGUGGCGAACGGGUGAGUAACACGUGAGUAACCUGCCCUUGACUUUGGGAUAACUUCAGGAAACUGGGGCUAAUACCGGAUAGGAGCUCCUGCUGCAUGGUGGGGGUUGGAAAGUUUCGGCGGUUGGGGAUGGACUCGCGGCUUAUCGGCUUGUUGGUGAGGUAGUGGCUUACCAAGGCUUUGACGGGUAGCCGGCCUGGGAGGGUGACCGGCCACAUUGGUACUGAGGUACGGCCCAGACUCCUACGUGAGGCAGCAGUGGGGAAUAUUGCACAAUGGGCGGAAGCCUGUUGCAGCAACGCCGCGUGCGGGAUGACGGCCUUCGGGUUGUAAACCGCUUUCGCCUGUGACGAAGCGUGAGUGACGGUAAUGGGUAAAGAAGCACCGGCUAACUACGUG
This 468-nucleotide ribosomal RNA is filed under the name uncultured bacterium. Its description in RNAcentral is "partial 16S ribosomal RNA". It matches the Rfam family "Bacterial small subunit ribosomal RNA", at positions 28 to 507 of the family's 1533-position model. The record is from RNAcentral.